GGCGCUAUAGCCAAGUGGUUACGGCGACAGAUUAGAAUCCUCUUGUUGUUGAAGGACUAUUUGAUCUGUUCCUCUUUGAGGGCGCAGGUUCGAAUCCUGCUGGCGUCG
Molecule: non-coding RNA, 108 nt
Organism: Marasmius sp. AFHP31
Lineage: Eukaryota; Fungi; Basidiomycota; Agaricomycetes; Agaricales; Marasmiaceae
Source: the annotation of a GenBank genome assembly